RNAcentral lists this long non-coding RNA (1592 nucleotides) under Nicotiana benthamiana. Its description in RNAcentral is "long non-coding RNA (NBEN_LNC034673)". Lineage: Eukaryota; Viridiplantae; Streptophyta; Magnoliopsida; Solanales; Solanaceae. The record is from RNAcentral.
GCUAAACGACAUGUCCCAAAUUCUAAACAUUUUAAUGGGAGUAUUAAAAGGGGGCCGCACAAUUUACGUAUUUUAUUUCGCAUGGCACACCUUACUUUGUUUUAAAGGCCAACCUAGAGAUGAACUAUGAUUAUCUAAUGAUGACUAUCACUAAAAUCCAAUAUUAAUUCAUUAAUAGUAUGACUAAGAAAUCUAAUGCCUGUAUAUAAAUCAUCAUACCCUAUGGUGGAUUAGGCUUUCAUCACAUUAAGUCUCAAAUCAACCCAAAUAGAAAUGGAAAUCAAUCUGCCAAAUUAUGAGAAACUACUUAACAUUCAUGCCUCAGCACAAGCCCGAGUGAGCGGCAAGUAAAAACUGGAGCGGGGCUAUACACCAGCAGAACUGUGACCCAAAUUAAUAAAAACCGGGCGCCUUCAUCCAACUAGCAUGCCCCAAACUGCAACUGGACCUUAAUUUGGUUUUAUGGCUAUUGAACUUAUUUCAAAUUGUUCAAUUGCAUUCAAUGAUUUUUGUGACAAAAAACCCAUAUAGUUCCAUUCAAAUCAACAACUGUUGUUUUGUUAAAUUCAAAUUUCAUGUUCAGAUCGUGUUUAAUAAAUUAUUGCAAACAUUUUUCAAAAAAAGAAAUGAUUAAACUAAAGUGAUUAUCAACUAUAUUGAGAUAUCAAACUUAGAAUAACCUUGAUAUGCUGAAGCGUUCAUUUCCUGAUUUCAAAAUCAAAAAUGCCGAAAUUAAAACUAAAGCUCAUAUGUUAGAUCUAAACUUUACGUUUCCUAUGGAAUUUCAGUAUUUAUUCUAAAAACCAGCUUUAUGUCCGUAUUACAUUCUAACUUUAACCCUUCAAACUAACAAGAUACUAUUUAUACUAACAUUUAAUCCUGAGAGUUGAUCUUAGAUCAACAAACUAUUAAGCAAAAGCAUUCACGGAAUGAUAAAAAAACGUUUAAAUGAUCAAAUACAGUCCAUACUGUCCCAUUAAUAUAGUUAUUAUAGAAUUCAAAUGACUACAAAUGUGAACUACACUAAUACUAAGGUUAAGUAGAGGAAAAUAACAACAACUUGCACUUCAAUCUCUUCCGAUGUAAACCAUACAUUUGACUCAAUUUCAUAUCAUUUAAGAUUAAGAAAUACCUGGAAGUUGGAACACAAUGAGAAGAAAGAGGAAUCAACAAUAGUGAACAAAUAUCAGCAGCGAAAUCAAUGACAACACAGCUCACAAACAGCCAGAAUUCCAGGAAAAGGGAACGUGAUGCAAUUGACUUUCAAAGGAGCUUCAAUCAACCAAAUUUACCAGUUGGAUUUGGAAUCAAGCUCGAAAAACUAAUAAAGUUGAACAAAACAAACUGGAGAAGCUUUUACCUUAUAUUUUGGUUAGUUUUUCAGGAUUUUUGUUUCUAGGAUCUAAUAUUUCGCAUUUAAACUAGUCUACCUCUACCCGAUUGUUUUCGAUUUUUAGUAGGUUUUCAAUAGGUUUCUGGAUCUGAACUUGAACUUUUCAAUGUUUCACUUUCCAAAACUCUAAUAACUGAGUUGAAUUUGAAUUUCAAAUUUUUGGGAUCUCCAAACUUUCUGCAAACUUAUGGGAUUUUUC